This 497-nucleotide ribosomal RNA is filed under the name uncultured bacterium. RNAcentral's name for it is "partial 16S ribosomal RNA". It matches the Rfam family "Bacterial small subunit ribosomal RNA", at positions 28 to 507 of the family's 1533-position model. The record is from RNAcentral.
GACGAACGCUGGCGGCGUGCCUAAUACAUGCAAGUAGAACGCUGAAGAGAGGAGCUUGCUCUUCUUGGAUGAGUUGCGAACGGGUGAGUAACGCGUAGGUAACCUGCCUUGUAGCGGGGGAUAACUAUUGGAAACGAUAGCUAAUACCGCAUAACAAUGGAUGACACAUGUCAUUUAUUUGAAAGGGGCAAUUGCUCCACUACAAGAUGGACCUGCGUUGUAUUAGCUAGUAGGCGAGGUAAGGGCUCACCUAGGCGACGAUACAUAGCCGACCUGAGAGGGUGAUCGGCCACACUGGGACUGAGACACGGCCCAGACUCCUACGGGAGGCAGCAGUAGGGAAUCUUCGGCAAUGGGGGCAACCCUGACCGAGCAACGCCGCGUGAGUGAAGAAGGUUUUCGGAUCGUAAAGCUCUGUUGUAAGUCAAGAACGGGUGUGAGAGUGGAAAGUUCACACUGUGACGGUAGCUUACCAGAAAGGGACGGCUAACUACGUG